GACGAACGCUGGCGGCGUGCUUAACACAUGCAAGUCGAACGGUGAAGGGAUCAGCUUGCUGGUUCUGGAUGAGUGGCGAACGGGUGAGUAACACGUGAGUAACCUGCCCCCUUCUUCUGGAUAACCGCAUGAAAGUGUGGCUAAUACGGGAUAUUCUGGGUCUGUCGCAUGAUGGGUCUGGGAAAGAUAUUGUUUCGGUGGGGGAUGGGCUCGCGGCCUAUCAGCUUGUUGGUGGGGUGAUGGCCUACCAAGGCGGUGACGGGUAGCCGGCCUGAGAGGGUGGACGGUCACACUGGGACUGAGACACGGCCCAGACUCCUACGGGAGGCAGCAGUGGGGAAUAUUGCACAAUGGGCGCAAGCCUGAUGCAGCGACGCCGCGUGAGGGAGGGAGGCCUUCGGGUUGUAAACCUCUUUCGCCAGUGAAGCAGGCCUGCUCCUUGUGGGUGGGUUGACGGUAGCUGGAGAAGAAGCGCCGGCUAACUACGUG
RNAcentral lists this ribosomal RNA (489 nucleotides) under uncultured bacterium. RNAcentral describes it as "partial 16S ribosomal RNA". It matches the Rfam family "Bacterial small subunit ribosomal RNA", at positions 28 to 507 of the family's 1533-position model. The record is from RNAcentral.